UCCCUGGUAGUAUAUCGGAUAGUACACGCGCCUGUCAAGUUGGGGUGAUGAACUCCGGAUGCAAACGCGCGAGAGCGGGGUUCGACUCCCCGCCAGGGAG
Molecule: non-coding RNA, 100 nt
Organism: Obba rivulosa
Lineage: Eukaryota; Fungi; Basidiomycota; Agaricomycetes; Polyporales; Gelatoporiaceae
Source: the annotation of a GenBank genome assembly